AACGAACGCUGGCGGCAGGCCUAACACAUGCAAGUCGAGCGAGGACUUCGGUUCUAGCGGCGGACGGGUGAGUAACGCGUGGGAAUGUGCCCUUCUCUACGGAAUAGCCCUGGGAAACUGGGAGUAAUACCGGAUACGCCCUUUUGGGGAAAGAUUUAUCGGAGAAGGAUCAGCCCGCGUUGGAUUAGGUAGUUGGUGGGGUAAUGGCCUACCAAGCCGACGAUCCAUAGCUGGUUUGAGAGGAUGAUCAGCCACACUGGGACUGAGACACGGCCCAGACUCCUACGGGAGGCAGCAGUGGGGAAUCUUAGACAAUGGGGGAAACCCUGAUCUAGCCAUGCCGCGUGAGUGAUGAAGGCCUUAGGGUUGUAAAGCUCUUUCAGCUGGGAAGAUAAUGACGGUACCAGCAGAAGAAGCCCCGGCUAACUCCGUG
Molecule: ribosomal RNA, 433 nt
Filed under: uncultured bacterium
Lineage: Bacteria
Description: partial 16S ribosomal RNA
Rfam family: Bacterial small subunit ribosomal RNA
Source: RNAcentral